Molecule: ribosomal RNA, 253 nt
Filed under: uncultured bacterium
Lineage: Bacteria
Description: partial 16S ribosomal RNA
Rfam family: Bacterial small subunit ribosomal RNA
Source: RNAcentral
UACGUAGGGGGCUAGCGUUGUCCGGAUUUAUUGGGCGUAAAGAGCGUGUAGGCGGCCAGGUAGGUCUGCUGUGAAAACUCGAGGCUCAACCUCGAGACGUCGGCGGAAACCAUCUGGCUAGAGUCCGGAAGAGGAGAGUGGAAUUCCUGGUGUAGCGGUGAAAUGCGCAGAUAUCAGGAAGAACACCCGUGGCGAAGGCGGCCCUCUGGGACGGUACUGACGCUGAGACGCGAAAGCGUGGGGAGCGAACAGG